UUGAGGUUAGCGAAAACCAAAUACUUUGGCUUCGGAGCUUCUAGACAAUUGACAGUUAGAAUUAUUGGGGACUUAGAAAUUUUACACCCGUAUUUUGAAUUUCUCUAAUAGAUGAGAAUUUCAAAAUACUGGUAAAAUUGCUAAGUCCCCAAGAGGUACCGAACUAUAAGUAACAUAUCCUAUACAUAUAGGUACAUAUUAUUAUAAGGUACCUACAUGAAGUUUUUUAUUUAAAAUAUUGCUAAUAUGUACUAUAUAAUUAGGUUAAUAAGUAUAUUUUGAAUUUAAUUUACAUUUAUAUAGAUAAUCUACCAAGCGAAGUGAGGUUUUUCAUUUACUGUCUUAAACUCAAUGAUGUAUAAGUUGUAUAUGAUGUAUAAGUAGUAUAGGUACAAUAUGUAUACUUUUCAAAUUGCCCGUCAAAUCCAGAGAACUGUCAAUUGUCUAGAAGCUCCGAAGCAAAGUAUUUGGUUUUCUCUAGACGCAAGUGUGAACGUGAGCCUUGGAUUGCCAUUGUUUCUCGAGUGUUCGGUCUGAAUCGUAGUGUGCGGGGUCAUUAGACUCAAUUAUUCACCUCUAAUUCUCAGUUCCAAAUUGAUUAAAUAUUACAAUAAAAGUAUAGUGAAGUUAUCCAGCAGCAGUGGAUUUGAAGAAUUUUAGAGCAUACUAUAUCCAAUGAGUUCUACCCCGCACCUACCAUGAAAUCUUAAAGCCACCCUACAACAACACCAAGGCCAGACCACACAGAGAGAAACAAUCAAUAGGCGACCAGCCUGGAUUAUUUCCACAUUUUCUUUUUUUGAGUACCUCCAGCUGCUUUCCA
Molecule: long non-coding RNA, 823 nt
Organism: Diabrotica virgifera virgifera (western corn rootworm)
Lineage: Eukaryota; Metazoa; Arthropoda; Insecta; Coleoptera; Chrysomelidae
Exons: 3
Source: RefSeq, a predicted model, not a curated record